GAUGAACGCUGGCGGCGUGCCUAAUACAUGCAAGUCGAACGCUUCACUUCGGUGAAGAGUGGCGCACGGGUGCGUAAUACAUAAGUAACCUGGCAUCUACAGGGGGAUAACUGAUGGAAACGUCAGCUAAGACCGCAUAGGUGUAGAGAUCGCAUGAACUCUAUAUGAAAAGUGCUACGGGACUGGUAGAUGAUGGACUUAUGGCGCAUUAGCUUGUUGGUAGGGUAACGGCCUACCAAGGCGACGAUGCGUAGCCGACCUGAGAGGGUGACCGGCCACACUGGGACUGAGACACGGCCCAGACUCCUACGGGAGGCAGCAGUAGGGAAUUUUCGGCAAUGGGGGAAACCCUGACCGAGCAACGCCGCGUGAAGGAAGAAGUAAUUCGUUAUGUAAACUUCUGUCAUAGAGGAAGAACGGUGGAUAUAGGGAAUGAUAUCCAAGUGACGGUACUCUAUAAGAAAGCCACGGCUAACUACGUG
Molecule: ribosomal RNA, 482 nt
Filed under: uncultured bacterium
Lineage: Bacteria
Description: partial 16S ribosomal RNA
Rfam family: Bacterial small subunit ribosomal RNA
Source: RNAcentral